UUGGAGGGCAAGUCUGGUGCCAGCAGCCGCGGUAAUUCCAGCUCCAAUAGCGUAUAUUAAAGUUGUUGCAGUUAAAAAGCUCGUAGUUGAACUUCGGGGUUUACCCAUUGGUCAGGCUUAAUUGUCUGUACUGGUGAGAUAAAUCUCUACCUUCUGAGGAACUUUCAUGCCAUUUAUUUGGUGUGAUUGGAAAUCAGGACUAUUACUUUGAAAAAAUUAGAGUGUUUAAAGCAGGCUAACGUCUGAAUAUAUUAGCAUGGAAUAAUGAAAUAGGACGGCUUGGUUCUAUUUCGUUGGUUUCUAGGAUCACCGUAAUGAUUAAUAGGGAUAGUUGGGGGCAUUAGUAUUCAAUUGUCAGAGGUGAAAUUCUUGGAUUUAUUGAAGACUAACUACUGCGAAAGCAUUUGCCAAGGAUGUUUUCAUUAAUCAAGAACGAAAGUUAGGGGAUCGAAGACGAUCAGAUACCGUCGUAGUCUUAACCAUAAACUAUGCCGACUAGGGAUCGGACGAAGUUAAUUUUAUAAUGACGCGUUCGGCGCCUUACGGGAAAC
RNAcentral lists this ribosomal RNA (551 nucleotides) under uncultured Glomeromycotina. RNAcentral's name for it is "SSU rRNA". It matches the Rfam family "Eukaryotic small subunit ribosomal RNA", at positions 548 to 1098 of the family's 1831-position model. Lineage: Eukaryota; Fungi; Glomeromycota. The record is from RNAcentral.